This 571-nucleotide long non-coding RNA is filed under the name Pongo abelii (Sumatran orangutan). RNAcentral's name for it is "lincRNA". Lineage: Eukaryota; Metazoa; Chordata; Mammalia; Primates; Hominidae. The record is from RNAcentral.
CUUCUGAUGUUCGGAUGUGUUCGGAGUCUUCCUUCUGGUGGGUUCGCGGUCCGGCUGGCUCAGGAGCGAAGCUGCAGACCUUCACGGAACUUGUGAGUUAUGGCAAAAGAUAUUAUGACUCCCAUGCUGCGGAUGAAGAAGUUGAUGCCCGUGACAGGGCUCCAGGUUUCCACAGUGCUUUCAAGACCACACUUAAAACCGACUCUUGGGUUCCAAAUGGCUGGAGAGACUGAAUUAGGCUUACAGUUGAAAUGUAGAGGGAUGUGAUUUUAAUCUUUUGGGUACCAAGGGCUGUUAUUAUCAGUGAGUAAUAAUUAUGUUGAGAGUGUCUAAGCAAAAAAAGAGGAUAUAUGCAUGUAAGAGAGAGGAAUGAGUAAGAAAAAGCAUUCCUCUAUCAUUGUUAAUUCAUUAAGUGGAUAUAGCAGUGAUCUAAUUUUAUGUCAAACUAUGUGUAUAAUAUAUACUAAUAUAAUUAUGUUAAAAUUCAUGUUUUAGAAAAUCCUGAAAAAUCUGACACUUGUUUCAGAAACAGAUUUAUAUUUAUUUAUUUAUGUUUUCUUUUGAACCCUGG